Molecule: long non-coding RNA, 970 nt
Organism: Carassius auratus (goldfish)
Lineage: Eukaryota; Metazoa; Chordata; Actinopteri; Cypriniformes; Cyprinidae
Exons: 7
Source: RefSeq, a predicted model, not a curated record
GACAAACCGUUUGUGUUUGUUCUACAGGUGUGUUUCUGAUUCAGAUGAAGUGAAGUCAGUGUCUGUGAUGGAGGGAGAUUCAGUCUCUCUACAGACUAACACUGAACUACAGACAAAUGAUGAGGUAUUCUGGACAUGUGGACACUCAGAGACUCGUAUAGCUGAAAUUGAUAAAGACACUGGAAGAUUCUCCACAUGUGAUGUUCUUGAUGGAGAUUCAGAGACAGACUGAAGCUGGAUCAUCAGACUGGAUCUCUGAUCAUCACAAACACCAGAAACACAGACUCUGAAGUGUAUGACGUAACCAUCAGAAGUAGGAAAGAGACCAUGUACAGAUUCAGUGUCUCUGUUACUGUCUCUGAGUAGUCAAAUGUAUCAGAAGGAGGUGAAUGGAGCAGAUUGAGAGGGAGAAUGUGAAGAAACAGCAGGUGGCGCUAGUGCACUGUUUUAGUUUGGGAUCUGCUGUUAGAAGGAAGAAGAAGGAGAAAGCAGAUGAAGUCGUGUCAGGUGACAAACAUCAAUCGUGAAGAUCGCACAGGUGUUUAACAGCGAUCACAAACCGGAAGUGUUUGAAAGACUUCUGGAUUCUGUUCCUGCAGCACAAGAUCGUCUGAACUACUGCAAGUCAUGAUGAGCAUCUGAUCGUCUUCAGUGACACAAAGAUCUCAGUGUUGAGCUGUUCAUCUGCUGUAUGUCAGAGAAGAGAGGAAAGAUGAGUCUCUCACACAAACAGAGUGUAAGAUCAGAAUCACAUGUGUCCAGCUCUGUGUCUGUGAAGAGUGACCGGUCAAAACAUGAACCACCAGACUUCAGUGAAGAAACAACAUCAGCUACUGAAAGGCUGCAAAAUGAGACAUUAGACUCAGACUUCCAGAUUAACAGGAACCGCAAGAAUUUCACAGACAAACUCCAAGGAAUCUUCCAGGAUCUUGAGAAGAAAAUAAUAAAAUUUCUAAAAAAUGAACUGGAC